Molecule: long non-coding RNA, 269 nt
Organism: Onychostruthus taczanowskii (white-rumped snowfinch)
Lineage: Eukaryota; Metazoa; Chordata; Aves; Passeriformes; Passeridae
Exons: 3
Source: RefSeq, a predicted model, not a curated record
UUGUAAAAUAGAGGAGAAUUUGGGAAAAAAAUCCCUUUUUUUAGGUGAUGUUUUUUAAAAAAUGGCAUUUCUUUAAUGCAAAGUUCAGCUCCAAGUCCCUGAGGGUGGGCCUGAUCCCGGCCCCCAAAAGGAUCUGCCUCAUCCAGGAGCCCAAAGUGCAUGAACCUGUCAGGAUUGCUUAUGACAGACCCCGGGGCUGCCCUGUCACAAAGAAAAAAAAGAAGCCCAGGGCUGUGGAGGUGCCCCAGAAGAGGCUGAGCCCCAGGAAC